AACACGUGAGUAACCUGCCCUUGACUCUGGGAUAAGCCUGGGAAACUGGGUCUAAUACCGGAUAUGACCGUCUGACGCAUGUCAGGUGGUGGAAAGCUUUUGUGGUUUUGGAUGGACUCGCGGCCUAUCAGCUUGUUGGUGGGGUAAUGGCCUACCAAGGCGACGACGGGUAGCCGGCCUGAGAGGGUGACCGGCCACACUGGGACUGAGACACGGCCCAGACUCCUACGGGAGGCAGCAGUGGGGAAUAUUGCACAAUGGGCGCAAGCCUGAUGCAGCGACGCCGCGUGAGGGAUGACGGCCUUCGGGUUGUAAACCUCUUUCAGUAGGGAAGAAGCGAAAGUGACGGUACCUGCAGAAGAAGCGCCGGCUAACUACGUGCCAGCAGCCGCGGUAAUACGUAGGGCGCAAGCGUUAUCCGGAAUUAUUGGGCGUAAAGAGCUCGUAGGCGGUUUGUCGCGUCUGCUGUGAAAGACCGGGGCUCAACUCCGGUUCUGCAGUGGGUACGGGCAGACUAGAGUGCAGUAGGGGAGACUGGAAUUCCUGGUGUAGCGGUGAAAUGCGCAGAUAUCAGGAGGAACACCGAUGGCGAAGGCAGGUCUCUGGGCUGUAACUGACGCUGAGGAGCGAAAGCAUGGGGAGCGAACAGGAUUAGAUACCCUGGUAGUCCAUGCCGUAAACGUUGGGCACUAGGUGUGGGGGACAUUCCACGUUUUCCGCGCCGUAGCUAACGCAUUAAGUGCCCCGCCUGGGGAGUACGGCCGCAAGGCUAAAACUCAAAGGAAUUGACGGGGGCCCGCACAAGCGGCGGAGCAUGCGGAUUAAUUCGAUGCAACGCGAAGAACCUUACCAAGGCUUGACAUGAACCGGUAAUACCUGGAAACAGGUGCCCCGCUUGCGGUCGGUUUACAGGUGGUGCAUGGUUGUCGUCAGCUCGUGUCGUGAGAUGUUGGGUUAAGUCCCGCAACGAGCGCAACCCUCGUUCUAUGUUGCCAGCGCGUUAUGGCGGGGACUCAUAGGAGACUGCCGGGGUCAACUCGGAGGAAGGUGGGGACGACGUCAAAUCAUCAUGCCCCUUAUGUCUUGGGCUUCACGCAUGCUACAAUGGCCGGUACAAAGGGUUGCGAUACUGUGAGGUGGAGCUAAUCCCAAAAAGCCGGUCUCAGUUCGGAUUGGGGUCUGCAACUCGACCCCAUGAAGUCGGAGUCGCUAGUAAUCGCAGAUCAGCAACGCUGCGGUGAAUACGUUCCCGGGCCUUGUACACACCGCCCG
RNAcentral lists this ribosomal RNA (1272 nucleotides) under Paenarthrobacter sp. Its description in RNAcentral is "bacterial SSU rRNA". It matches the Rfam family "Bacterial small subunit ribosomal RNA", at positions 112 to 1396 of the family's 1533-position model. The record is from RNAcentral. Lineage: Bacteria; Bacillati; Actinomycetota; Actinomycetes; Micrococcales; Micrococcaceae.